UUAACCUGGAAUUAAUUUAACUCUAUUUGA
This 30-nucleotide ribosomal RNA is filed under the name Gongronella lacrispora. Its description in RNAcentral is "partial 28S ribosomal RNA". The record is from RNAcentral. Lineage: Eukaryota; Fungi; Mucoromycota; Mucoromycetes; Mucorales; Cunninghamellaceae.